AGUAUUAGUUGGUACUGUAUGUGCCUUUAGGAUCCUCUCCAUGUGUAGGCUAUUGUACUGGCCUGUGUGGUACAGUCUUUCUUAUGUGUAGUAGUUUGUCACAUUGUAUAGCUUAGUUUAUCAUUUUUGUCUACUUUGAAUUAAAUCCAUGCCUGUUCCUCCAUUUUGCACUUGACUUUUUUAGACGCAGACCCGAAGACAUUUGAAGCAGCACUUUGAGAGCUAGCUGUCCUCAGUGCUUAAUUUGUAUUGUGAAUGGAUCAUUUGUGGAAAUGCUAUGAUCACUUAUCUUCUUUAACGUUGUGAUUCACAGACAAAUGAUGACCAUGAUUUGAAUGCUGCAACUAAGACGGAAUGACUUUGAGGGAGACAUGCUGAGACCCGAGUCUAAUUCCUCAAAUGGAAAAGCAGAAGAAUCUGUACACUCUCGGAUAAAAUUAACAGUUCAUAUGGUGCUCUUCGAUGUCCCAGGUUUGUGGCAGGACCAUGCCUCAGGACUACCUGGCCUGAUGACUACUUCCUGUCCCCAGUCCACCUGGUCGUGCUGCUGCUCCAGUUUCAACUGUUCUGCCUGCGGCUAUAGAACCCUGACCAGUUCACCGGACGUGCUACCUGUCCCAGACCUGCUGUUUUCAACUUUCUAGAGACAGCAGAAGUGGUAGAGAUCCUCUGAAUGAUCGGCUAUGAAAAGCCAACUGACAUUUACUCCUGAGGUGCUGACCUGUUGCACCCUCUACAACCACUGUGAUUAUUAUUAUUUGACCCUGCUGGUCAUCUAUGAACAUUUGAACAUCUUGGCCAUGUUCUGUUAUAAUCUCCCCCCGGCACAGCCAGAAGAGGGCUGGCCACCCCUCAUAGCCUGGUUCCUCUCUAGGUUUCUUCCAAGGUUCUUUCUAGGGAGUUUUUCCUAGCCACUGUGCUUCUACACCUGCAUUGCUUUCUGUUUGGGGUUUUAGGCUCGGUUUCUGUACAGAACUUUGUGACAUCAGCUGAUGUAAGAAGGGUUUUAUAAAUAAUUUGAUCAAUUGAUUAAUUGUUGCCAUUCAGGUGUUUGAUGUGGUGGCUAGGUGCAUUCUUGUCAAAUAAAUAUGCCAAAUAAAUAUGCUUAUUCAUUCAUGA
Long non-coding RNA from Oncorhynchus nerka (sockeye salmon), 1119 nucleotides. RefSeq lists it as uncharacterized. The transcript is spliced from 3 exons. The record is from RefSeq and is a predicted model, not a curated record. NCBI's taxonomy places the organism in Eukaryota, Metazoa, Chordata, Actinopteri, Salmoniformes, Salmonidae.